GACGAACGCUGGCGGCGUGCUUAACACAUGCAAGUCGAACGGAAAGGCUCUGCUUUUGUGGGGUGCUCGAGUGGCGAACGGGUGAGUAACACGUGAGUAACCUGCCCUUGACUUUGGGAUAACUUCAGGAAACUGGGGCUAAUACCGGAUAGGAGCUCCUGCUGCAUGGUGGGGGUUGGAAAGUUUCGGCGGUUGGGGAUGGACUCGCGGCUUAUCAGCUUGUUGGUGGGGUAGUGGCUCACCAAGGCUUUGACGGGUAGCCGGCCUGAGAGGGUGACCGGCCACAUUGGGACUGAGAUACGGCCCAGACUCCUACGGGAGGCAGCAGUGGGGAAUAUUGCACAAUGGGCGGAAGCCUGAUGCAGCAACGCCGCGUGCGGGAUGACGGCCUUCGGGUUGUAAACCGCUUUCGCCUGUGACGAAGCGUGAGUGACGGUAAUGGGUAAAGAAGCACCGGCUAACUACGUG
RNAcentral lists this ribosomal RNA (468 nucleotides) under uncultured bacterium. RNAcentral's name for it is "partial 16S ribosomal RNA". It matches the Rfam family "Bacterial small subunit ribosomal RNA", at positions 28 to 507 of the family's 1533-position model. The record is from RNAcentral.